This 157-nucleotide non-coding RNA is filed under the name Parvularcula bermudensis HTCC2503. RNAcentral's name for it is "6S / SsrS RNA". It matches the Rfam family "6S / SsrS RNA". Rfam says of the family: E. coli 6S RNA was the first non coding RNA to be sequenced, but its function was unknown until recently. It consists of 184 nucleotides that fold into an extended hairpin structure with a large single-stranded internal bulge. The record is from Rfam by way of RNAcentral. Lineage: Bacteria; Pseudomonadati; Pseudomonadota; Alphaproteobacteria; Parvularculales; Parvularculaceae.
GAAAAGCUGCCCGGCCCGUUAGGAUCACGUCCCCGGGGCCUUACAUUCAAGUUCGGGAACUGCCUCUGGCGGAGAUCGUGGUCUCCAUCACGCGGUGCCCACCUGGUCCUUCGGGUCCAGGGCGACAAUACCGUCCGACGGCCGGUGCGGCGAUUUU